This is a non-coding RNA of Pelobates cultripes (western spadefoot toad), 2368 nucleotides long. NCBI's taxonomy places the organism in Eukaryota, Metazoa, Chordata, Amphibia, Anura, Pelobatidae. The record is from the annotation of a GenBank genome assembly.
AAUCUCCCUACCGCUAUACUGCGCACGCGCGGACUCUGAUAGCCUGAUUAAAGCCUUUUCUGGGAACAGGUCAGUCUCUCCCUGCUCCCAACACUCUCAGCCAUCCGAGGGGACGGUGUAGUUUAUUAGGGGGGUUUCAGUGCAUUAUAUUUGGGGGGUCUGCGCAGUAUAUGGGGGGUCGGUGCUGUAUAUGGGCGGCAGUAUAUGGGGGGUCUGUGCUGUAUAUGGGGGUCUGCGCAGUAUAUGGGGGGGUCUGCACAGUAUAUUGUGGGGGGUAUGCGCUGUAUAUGGGGGGGUCUGCACAGUAUAUGGUGUGGUCUGCGCUGUAUAUUGGGGUCUGCGCUGUAUAUGGUAGGGUCUGCGCAGUAUAUUGUGGGGGGGUCUGCGCAGUAAAUGGGGGAGCUGUCUGCGCUGUAUAUGGGGGGUCUGUGCAGUAUAUUGGGGGCUGUCUACGCAGUAUAUGGGGGGUCUGCGCAGUAUAUUGGGGGGUCUGUGAAGUAUAUUGGGGUGGCCUGUGUGCUAGAUGUGGGGGGCAGUAUGUUAGAUGGAGGGGCUGUUCGUUACAUGUGGGGGGGCAGUGUAUUAUAUUUGGGGACUGUGCGUUAGAUGGGGAGCUGUACAGUACGUAUGGCCUGUGUGUUAGAUGUGUACAACCCUAGUUUCACAGAAAAAUAUUUAUUUCCUAGAUAUCAUAUGCCAUGGCAUGCUUUUUGCUAUGAAACCGCAGCCGUCUAGUCACUUGCCAGAGAAGGAUGAGAAACUGCACCCCAGCGAGAGGGACUGCCCCACAUCUGCAACCAAAUCCGUUGGUCACCGAAUUCAGUAAUCUCCGUCUCUUUGUGCAUCGUGUAUGUAUGGUACUCCCAAUUCUUAUAUUUAAUCCGGUGUGUCUCCCACAAUCUUUGUGUCUGUCUGCUAUAUGUAUGUGGCACGCAAGUCUAUUAUGCCAGCUACUCUAACCAGUUUAUUUUUGUGUGUGUCAAAGCUCUGACAAGCAUGUUCUCAUAUGGGACACGAAGUACAUGAAGAGGAAUGAAGAAGCCCAUGUCUGAUGCUCGUCUCCAGGGUGGAGUAUUGAAUUUAUAAGUAAUGAAGUGGCAUCUGACACAUGACAAGCUGCUCCUGUUUGCACAGCAACUUCAACAUUGUGUACUGUGAUCACGGCAUAGUUCAAAGGUAGGUAACCUUGGGCAGUCCAGAUGCUGUGAAUUACAUCCCCCAUAAUGCUGGCAAACCAUUAUGGGAGGUGUAGUCCAAAACAUCUGGAAUACCGAAUGCGUAUGAAUGAAAAGUAUGGUGUCUGUGAAUGGUCAGUAACAAGGGUUGAAGCCUUGACGUGGCAUUACUGCUCACAUGUGUAUUCAUGUGCCAAUUCAACCAAUGUGAGUCACUGUAAUACUUAGAAGGUAACCAAAAGUACUGUGAUUGUGGAGAAUGAAACGCCUCUAUCACCUACACACUGUUUACACUGUGACCAUAUCUCCUAUACACUGCUUAAACUGUGACCGUAUCUCCUAAACACUGCUCAUACUGUGACCGUAUCUCCUAAACAUUGCUUACACUGUGACCGUAUCCCAUAAACACUGCUUACACUGUGACCGUAUCUCCUAAACACUGCUUACACUGUGACUGUAUCUCCUAAACACUGCUUACACUGUGACUGUAUCUCCUAAACACUGCUUACACUGUGACCGUAUCCCAUAAACACUGCUUACACUGUGACUGUAUCUCCUAAACACUGCUUACACUGUGACCGUAUCCCAUAAACACUGCUUACACUGUGACCGUAUCUCCUAAACACUGCUUACACUGUGACCGUAUCUCCUAAACACUGCUUACACUGUGACCGUAUCUCCUAAACACUGCUCAUACUGUGACCGUAUCUCCUAAACACUGCUCACACUGUGACCCUAUCACCUAAACACUGCUUACACUGUAAGCACAGACCUGCUUUUAUUCAAAAUUGAAAGUGCUCGAUCAUUCUUUCUAUUCUACGCCUCCAAUCUUCAACAUUGAAAUUGUCAUUUCUAAUAAUAUAAAAUAAGUAAUAUGCUUUCUGGUUACGAUUUGGUGAGUUGUAACUAUAUAUUUUAUUUUUACAGUUUCAGAGGGAAGGAGCAAACCGCUUUGAGGAGUCCCUGCGUAAGAGACUAUUGGAUACUGAAGGGCUGUACUGCAGUGUCGGCUCUAGACUUGGCGAGGCCUUAGGCGAAACUCAUACAUGAGACCCCACGGAGAACACCAUUAUUGAAGAAAAAAUAGCAGGUGACUUUGUGUAUAAGAAGCUGUAGAUAUAUUGAUGGUGGAGCUCAGUGGUGUAUCCUGGUUUUGUGCUGCCCUAGGCAGGACAAAACUCAGACGCCCCCCU